RNAcentral lists this ribosomal RNA (460 nucleotides) under uncultured bacterium. RNAcentral describes it as "partial 16S ribosomal RNA". It matches the Rfam family "Bacterial small subunit ribosomal RNA", at positions 338 to 795 of the family's 1533-position model. The record is from RNAcentral.
CCUACGGGAGGCAGCAGUGAGGAAUAUUGGUCAAUGGGCGCGAGCCUGAACCAGCCAAGUCGCGUGAAGGAUGACUGUCCUACGGGUUGUAAACUUCUUUUAUCAAGGAAUAAAGUCAGGCACGUGUGCCUUUUUGUAUGUACUUUAUGAAUAAGGAUCGGCUAACUCCGUGCCAGCAGCCGCGGUAAUACGGAGGAUCCGAGCGUUAUCCGGAUUUAUUGGGUUUAAAGGGAGCGUAGAUGGGUUGUUAAGUCAGGUGUGAAAGUUUGCGGCUCAACCGUAAAAUUGCAAUUGAUACUGGCAGCCUUGAGUACAGGUGAGGUAGGCGGAAUUCGUGGUGUAGCGGUGAAAUGCUUAGAUAUCACGAAGAACUCCGAUUGCGAAGGCAGCUUACUAAACUGCCACUGACAUUGAUGCUCGAAAGUGUGGGUAUCAAACAGGAUUAGAUACCCUAGUAGUC